This 406-nucleotide ribosomal RNA is filed under the name uncultured bacterium. Its description in RNAcentral is "partial 16S ribosomal RNA". It matches the Rfam family "Bacterial small subunit ribosomal RNA", at positions 30 to 526 of the family's 1533-position model. The record is from RNAcentral.
AUUGAACGCUGGCGGCAGGCCUAACACAUGCAAGUCGAACGAGUGGCGGACGGGUGAGUUAUGUCUGUGAAACUGCCUGACGGAGGGGGAUAACUACUGGAAACGGUAGCUAAUACCGCCUACCAUCACCUGUGCCCAGAUGGGAUUAGCUUGUUGGUGGGGUAACGGCACACCAAGGCGACGAUCCCUAGCUGGUCUGAGAGGAUGACCAGCCACACUGGAACUGAGACACGGUCCAGACUCCUACGAGAGGCAGCAGUGGGGAAUAUUGCACAAUGGGCGCAAGCCUGAUGCAGCCAUGCCGCGUGUAUGAAGAAGGUCUUCGGAUUGUAAAGUACUUUAAGCGGGGAGGCGUUACCCGCAGAAGAAGCACCGGCUAACUCCGUGCCAGCCGCCGCGGUAAUAC